AUUGAACGCUGGCGGAAUGCUUUACACAUGCAAGUCGAACGGCAGCACGGACUUCGGUCUGGUGGCGAGUGGCGAACGGGUGAGUAACAUAUCGGAACGUAUCCAAUAAUGGGGGAUAACGAGUCGAAAGAUUCGCUAAUACCGCAUACGCCCUACGGGGGAAAGCUGGGGACCUUCGGGCCUGGCGUUAAUGGAGCGGCCGAUAUCUGAUUAGCUAGUUGGUGAGGUAAAGGCUCACCAAGGCGACGAUCAGUAGCUGGUCUGAGAGGAUGACCAGCCACACUGGAACUGAGACACGGUCCAGACUCCUACGGGAGGCAGCAGUGGGGAAUUUUGGACAAUGGGCGCAAGCCUGAUCCAGCCAUUCCGCGUGAGCGAAGAAGGCCUUCGGGUUGUAAAGCUCUUUCGCAAGGGAAGAAAACUUAGCCACUAACAUUGGUUGAGGUUGACGGUACCUUGAUAAGAAGCACCGGCUAACUACGUGCCAGCCGCCGCAGUAA
RNAcentral lists this ribosomal RNA (500 nucleotides) under uncultured bacterium. RNAcentral's name for it is "partial 16S ribosomal RNA". It matches the Rfam family "Bacterial small subunit ribosomal RNA", at positions 30 to 523 of the family's 1533-position model. The record is from RNAcentral.